AUUGAACGCUGGCGGAAUGCUUUACACAUGCAAGUCGAACGGCAGCACGGACUUCGGUCUGGUGGCGAGUGGCGAACGGGUGAGUAAUGUAUCGGAACGUGCCCAGUCGUGGGGGAUAACGUAGUGAAAAUUACGCUAAUACCGCAUACGAUCUAUGGAUGAAAGCGGGGGAUCGCAAGACCUCGCGCGAUUGGAGCGGCCGAUAUCAGAUUAGGUGGUUGGUGGGGUAAAGGCCCACCAAGCCAACGAUCUGUAGCUGGUCUGAGAGGACGACCAGCCACACUGGAACUGAGACACGGUCCAGAGUCCUACGGGAGGAAGCAGUGGGGAAUUUUGGACAAUGGGCGAAAGCCUGAUCCAGCCAUUCCGCGUGCAGGAUGAAGGCCCUCGGGUUGUAAACUGCUUUUGUACAGAACGAAAAGGUUUCUACUAAUACUAGGAGCUCAUGACGGUACUGUAAGAAGAAGCACCGGCUAACUACGUGCCAGCCGCCGCCGUAA
This 500-nucleotide ribosomal RNA is filed under the name uncultured bacterium. RNAcentral's name for it is "partial 16S ribosomal RNA". It matches the Rfam family "Bacterial small subunit ribosomal RNA", at positions 30 to 523 of the family's 1533-position model. The record is from RNAcentral.